Molecule: long non-coding RNA, 605 nt
Organism: Syzygium oleosum
Lineage: Eukaryota; Viridiplantae; Streptophyta; Magnoliopsida; Myrtales; Myrtaceae
Exons: 2
Source: RefSeq, a predicted model, not a curated record
AACUAUUAGAAAGUAUUCCUUACCCAAAAAAAAACUAUUAGAAAAUAUUUGUAAGGGAAUGAGAGGAGAAUGACUCUAAGUUUCCUGGAGACUACUUUUGAACAAUGGAUUGUAUCUUUUUGCCAUCCAGUGUCCGAUCGACACGAUUGUUGCGUCAAAUGACAGACUUGGGUUCUUACUACUUGUUUGGUUCGCUUGAUAGCGAAUUCAUUCCCAGUCUAUUCCAAAUAAAACUGUUAUUGGAAAUUAUUCUGCUGGACUUUAUGAACAACAUCAGUAAUAACAGUAGCAGCUACAUGACGCACCAUCCUGUGGAUGCAAGGGCUGUCACUGGUUGCCCCGUUGGGCCAUUUCUCACCCAAGACAGAUCUUCUUGAAGAGCUCAAAAGGUUUUAAAGCGCCAAUUAUUCCAAUAAAUGAUGUACAAAUUAACGUCUUCUCUUAGCCCUUAUACGAGGCCUUUUUAAAAGUUGCGAUCUGGAUAAAAGGUAGUUCGUUGGGUCUUUCUUCCUCGUUUUUGCAUUACUUUGCAGAUAUUGCAGCACAAAAGGAGCAGACUCACUGAACAUCAUCAAUUUACCUCCAUUUUCUGAAAGAAAUGCAUG